ACCGCACAAGCGGUGGAUGAUGUGGUUUAAUUCGAUGCAACGCGAAAACCUUACCCACCUUGACAUGUACGGAAUCCUUAGAGAUAGAGGAGUGCUCGAAAGAGAACCGUAACACAGGUGCUGCAUGGCUGUCGUCAGCUCGUGUCGUGAGAUGUUGGGUUAAGUCCCGCAACGAGCGCAACCCUUGUCAUUAGUUGCUACAUUCAGUUGGGCACUCUAAUGAGACUGCCGGUGACAAACCGGAGGAAGGUGGGGAUGACGUCAAGUCCUCAUGGCCCUUAUAGGUGGGGCUACACACGUCAUACAAUGGAUGGUACAAAGGGUCGCCAACCCGCGAGGGGGAGCCAAUCCCAUAAAGCCAUUCGUAGUCCGGAUCGCAGUCUGCAACUCGACUGCGUGAAGUCGGAAUCGCUAGUAAUCGUGGAUCAGAAUGUCACGGUGAAUACGUUCCCGGGUCUU
RNAcentral lists this ribosomal RNA (459 nucleotides) under uncultured Acidovorax sp. RNAcentral describes it as "bacterial SSU rRNA". It matches the Rfam family "Bacterial small subunit ribosomal RNA", at positions 920 to 1382 of the family's 1533-position model. The record is from RNAcentral. Lineage: Bacteria; Pseudomonadati; Pseudomonadota; Betaproteobacteria; Burkholderiales; Comamonadaceae.